This 471-nucleotide ribosomal RNA is filed under the name Salmonella enterica subsp. enterica. RNAcentral describes it as "bacterial SSU rRNA". It matches the Rfam family "Bacterial small subunit ribosomal RNA", at positions 1 to 468 of the family's 1533-position model. The record is from RNAcentral. Lineage: Bacteria; Pseudomonadati; Pseudomonadota; Gammaproteobacteria; Enterobacterales; Enterobacteriaceae.
AAAUUGAAGAGUUUGAUCAUGGCUCAGAUUGAACGCUGGCGGCAGGCCUAACACAUGCAAGUCGAACGGUAACAGGAAGCAGCUUGCUGCUUUGCUGACGAGUGGCGGACGGGUGAGUAAUGUCUGGGAAACUGCCUGAUGGAGGGGGAUAACUACUGGAAACGGUGGCUAAUACCGCAUAACGUCGCAAGACCAAAGAGGGGGACCUUCGGGCCUCUUGCCAUCAGAUGUGCCCAGAUGGGAUUAGCUUGUUGGUGAGGUAACGGCUCACCAAGGCAACGAUCCCUAGCUGGUCUGAGAGGAUGACCAGCCACACUGGAACUGAGACACGGUCCAGACUCCUACGGGAGGCAGCAGUGGGGAAUAUUGCACAAUGGGCGCAAGCCUGAUGCAGCCAUGCCGCGUGUAUGAAGAAGGCCUUCGGGUUGUAAAGUACUUUCAGCGGGGAGGAAGGUGUUGUGGUUAAUAACC